This 450-nucleotide long non-coding RNA is filed under the name Carica papaya (papaya). Its description in RNAcentral is "long non-coding RNA (CPAP_LNC005983)". The record is from RNAcentral. Lineage: Eukaryota; Viridiplantae; Streptophyta; Magnoliopsida; Brassicales; Caricaceae.
UGUUCUUUGGCGAAUUUAGGCAAUUGUCCUUCCGUAGAGUUAUUCGGUAUUUCAAGGACUUCCACUUGGCUUCGAAGUGAAGCUAUACCUUCCUUGACUCUAGUUUGUCACAGGCUUGUCCAUUGUAAGUUCUUUCUUUGUGACUUUGGGCUGUUUAGGUCCUUCCUUCUAUUGUUAUCCUUCCCUUUAUCUCCAUAGACGUUUUAGAUGAAGUUUUAAAACGUCUCCUAAAUUCUAUAUAUUCCCAUGGUAGGGCAAUUACAGCUCACAAUUAUUUUUCAUCUUUCUAUUAUCCAAACAUAUUUACAAGGAUUUAUCUUUCUUACGGGGUUAACAUAAUGACUAAAGAUAUCUUCUUCUGGUUUUAAGACUGCCACCAUAUUCAACUCAAUUCUCAAUUGGCAUACACUUCCUUCUGUUGGGUCAGUGCAUGACAUGUUUGGUCAUGUU